Molecule: ribosomal RNA, 305 nt
Filed under: uncultured bacterium
Lineage: Bacteria
Description: bacterial SSU rRNA
Rfam family: Bacterial small subunit ribosomal RNA
Source: RNAcentral
UUGGGCCUACGGGAGGCAGCAGUGGGGAAUAUUGCACAAUGGGGGAAACCCUGAUGCAGCGACGCCGCGUGAGUGAAGAAGUAUUUCGGUACGUAAAGCUCUAUCAGCAGGGAAGAAAAUGACGGUACCUGACUAAGAAGCCCCGGCUAACUACGUGCCAGCAGCCGCGGUAAUACGUAGGGGGCAAGCGUUAUCCGGAUUUACUGGGUGUAAAGGGAGCGUAGACGGCAUAGCAAGUCUGAUGUGAAAGAUCGGGGCUCAACCCCGGGCCUGCAUUGGAAACUGUUAAGCUGGAGUACAGGAGG